UAUAAAUACCGAGGCAUAGCAGAGGUUGGAGAUAUAGCAAGUCACAUAGCAAAACAGAAACCUUCACAUACAAGUCUCCAGGCUCAUCUCGUGUUCAAACUCGAUCACCAUGUCGGACAAGUGCGGCAACUGCGACUGCGCUGACAAGAGCCAGUGCACGAAGAAGGGAAGUAGCUAUGCUGCUGAUUUCGUGGAGACUGAGAAGAGCUAUGUAGAGACUGUUUUCGUGGAUGCUCCAGCAGCUGAGCAUGAAGGCCAGUGCAAGUGCAGCACCAGCUGCGCCUGCAUUAAUUGCAUCUGUGGAAGUUACUAAUAGGUAAUAAUGUUGCUGGGGUGUGAUUUCAAUAUUGUCUUGUACUGUCCUUUGGCUGCUUCAGUGGCAUCAGCAUCAUGGUGCAGAUGCUUCACUUAUAAUGUCGUGUAUCCCAUCUUUAUGGCUCAAUGAACUAAUAUUUAGUAUAA
Long non-coding RNA from Rhodamnia argentea, 462 nucleotides. RefSeq lists it as uncharacterized. Lineage: Eukaryota; Viridiplantae; Streptophyta; Magnoliopsida; Myrtales; Myrtaceae. The record is from RefSeq and is a predicted model, not a curated record. The transcript has 3 exons.